Molecule: long non-coding RNA, 1358 nt
Organism: Homo sapiens (human)
Lineage: Eukaryota; Metazoa; Chordata; Mammalia; Primates; Hominidae
Source: Ensembl
AUGCGCAGUGAUGGAAGUGCAAAGGCAGGAGAUGGGUCUGGGAAAGACUCCAGUCACGGUCACUUCCAGGGCAGAAGAAGCCAUAGUCAAGGGUAAUUGCAAGCCAGGGAGCAUGCAAUUUAUUGAGUUCAGGCAUUUUGGGAAAGCGUAAAGAAGUGAAGGAUUGGGACAUGAGGCAAAGAUGCCAAGGUUUGCUGCAGUGAGAUGCGGGAAGGCUCUGCCGCACUAAGCUCUCUACAUGGCCGAGGCACCAGACCAGAAUGCGCCCUUUCGACAGGCAGAGAGAGCCAAAGGGGAAAAGAGCUGAGUCAAGGCUGCCAAGUUCCUGCUUCCAGCCCUACCAGCCGGUCACUCGCGCCUUGCAAUGAGGAAACCAGGAGUCCUAUCUAGAGCCUUUCCAUAGUUGUGGGAAAGAAGAUGGGUAAAGUUAUUGUUAAUCUACAGAGGAAGGAAUGAUGCCAAGUUUUUCAAGGCUUCCAGAGUCACAGGAGGAGUCACUUGGUAAAUCCAGGAGCAGAAACCAGGUACCAGUUGGAAGACCACAAUGUGUUUGUUCAGACCUGUGGGCCUCCUGGAUCCUUAGCAAAAGACCACACAGACAAGUGUUGAAUGCAGCUUUUAAAAGUAUGGAAGGGACAGUAAGACAGUUCUAAGCGUGGACUAGAAUAUAAUUUAAGGUUUCUGUGACACGGUGUUAGGACUCUUUCCUAGAAUUAUGAGAGCUGAACUAACAGCUCCCAGAUAACUGAAGCAUAAUAAUUAAUCUAGAAAAGCGGCCUCUUCUUUUCUGUGGUUGAACCUAAGUGUAGUUUUUACUUUUAACUAAAACUAGGUCAAUUAAGACCAUUGGAAUUCUGUGACUGAGGAUGUGUGGUGUUUAUUGGGGAUUUAAAAUAAGAUUUUUGUUCUUUUAUAAAUUUUAAUAUAAAUAGAUUGUUUUCCCUAUAGUAUUUAGUGUUAAUUAAUGGGGCUGACACAAUUAAUGGCAUCAAGAACAUAUAAUUAUGUUUAUUAUACUAAGAAAUUAUGCAAUUACGUAGUUGUUUAAUAGGUUAAGUGAUCUUAUAGAUAUUUUUAUCGUUUUUGCAACAGCUUUAUCCUGAUUUCUUUGUGAGAAAGCUUUUAAUGUUUCAAAAAUGUUGAGACAGACUUUUGUUAAAUUAAUCGCAUGAAAAAUAGUAUAUCUUUUUCAGUAACUGGGGAUUUUCAUAAAAGCCAUCAAAGAUAUAAUAUUAGAAGAUCUGCUGUUAAGAUAGCUGUUGUCAUAAAAAACUGUUGAUGAAUUUUGAAUUUUGACUAUUAACUGUCCAUGCUAAUCAGAUAUUCAGAGAACAAUAAACAGCAUUUGCUAAAUUCAU